RNAcentral lists this ribosomal RNA (500 nucleotides) under uncultured bacterium. Its description in RNAcentral is "partial 16S ribosomal RNA". It matches the Rfam family "Bacterial small subunit ribosomal RNA", at positions 30 to 523 of the family's 1533-position model. The record is from RNAcentral.
AUUGAACGCUGGCGGCAUGCCUUACACAUGCAAGUCGAACGGCAGCACGGGAGCAAUCCUGGUGGCGAGUGGCGAACGGGUGAGUAAUAUAUCGGAACGUGCCCAGUCGUGGGGGAUAACGCAGCGAAAGCUGUGCUAAUACCGCAUACGAUCUAUGAAUGAAAGCGGGGGACCGCAAGGCCUCGCGCGAUUGGAGCGGCCGAUAGCAGAUUAGCUAGUUGGGGGGGUAAAGGCCCACCAAGGCGACGAUCUGUAGCUGGUCUGAGAGGACGACCAGCCACACUGGAACUGAGACACGGUCCAGACUCCUACGGGAGGCAGCAGUGGGGAAUUUUGGACAAUGGGCGCAAGCCUGAUCCAGCAAUGCCGCGUGCAGGAUGAAGGCCUUCGGGUUGUAAACUGCUUUUGUACGGAACGAAACGGUGAGCUUUAAUACAGUUUGCUAAUGACGGUACCGUAAGAAUAAGCACCGGCUAACUACGUGCCAGCCGCCGCAGUAA